GACGAACGCUGGCGGCGUGCCUAAUACAUGCAAGUAGAACGCACAGUUUAUACCGUAGCUUGCUACACCAUAGACUGUGAGUUGCGAACGGGUGAGUAACGCGUAGGUAACCUGCCUGGUAGCGGGGGAUAACUAUUGGAAACGAUAGCUAAUACCGCAUAAUAUUAAUUAUUGCAUGAUAAUUAAUUGAAAGGUGCAAUUGCACCACUACCAGAUGGACCUGCGUUGUAUUAGCUAGUAGGUGAGGUAACGGCUCACCUAGGCGACGAUACAUAGCCGACCUGAGAGGGUGAGCGGCCACACUGGGACGGAGACACGGCCCAGACUCCUACGGGAGGCAGCAGUAGGGAAUCUUCGGCAAUGGACGAAAGUCUGACCGAGCAACGCCGCGUGAGUGAAGAAGGUUGUCGGAUCGUAAAGCUCUGUUGUAAGAGAAGAACGGGUGUGAGAGUGGAAAGUUCACACUGUGACGGUAUCUUACCAGAAAGGGACGGCUAACUACGUG
Molecule: ribosomal RNA, 505 nt
Filed under: uncultured bacterium
Lineage: Bacteria
Description: partial 16S ribosomal RNA
Rfam family: Bacterial small subunit ribosomal RNA
Source: RNAcentral